This 247-nucleotide ribosomal RNA is filed under the name uncultured bacterium. RNAcentral's name for it is "partial 16S ribosomal RNA". It matches the Rfam family "Bacterial small subunit ribosomal RNA", at positions 109 to 354 of the family's 1533-position model. The record is from RNAcentral.
AGUAACACGUGAGCAACCUGCCUCUCAGAGGGGGAUAACGUUUGGAAACGAACGCUAAUACCGCAUGAAAUAUUGGUAUCGCAUGGUGCUGAUAUCAAAGGAGCAAUCCGCUGAGAGAUGGGCUCGCGUCCGAUUAGAUAGUUGGCGGGGCAACGGCCCACCAAGUCGACGAUCGGUAGCCGGACUGAGAGGUUGAACGGCCACAUUGGGACUGAGACACGGCCCAGACUCCUACGGGAGGCAGCAG